This 1357-nucleotide unclassified non-coding RNA is filed under the name uncultured fungus. RNAcentral's name for it is "sequence contains 18S rRNA gene, ITS1, 5.8S rRNA gene, ITS2, 28S rRNA gene". The stretch from base 302 to 1357 matches the Rfam family "Eukaryotic large subunit ribosomal RNA", at positions 1 to 961 of the family's 3401-position model. Lineage: Eukaryota; Fungi. The record is from RNAcentral.
AGCUGGAUCAUUUCGAGAGUUACCUUGACUCACCGUUGAGAAAAUGUAAUACUCCUUCGAUGCGCGUCGCAGCAUCGCAGGUUAGACAACUCAUGGCGGUGGAUGUCUCGGCUUUCCAUUCGAUGAAGGACGCGGCAACAUGCGAUAACUCGUAUGAAUUGCAGAAUUAUGCAUUACUAAUCCUUCGAAUGCACAUUGCGUGCCGGCCCCAAGUCCGGGCACGUCCACGAUUCAGUGCUCAUAACCAACUGGGGACAAAUUAGGCCCACAAAAAGUAUGGUUUAUUACCAAAUCAGGCUUCUCGGCCUGAGUUGUGUUCGACCACCCGCUGAACUUAAGCAUAUCAUUAAGCGGAGGAAAAGAAAACAACUGUGAUUCCCGUAGUAGCGGCGAGCGAAAUGGGAAAAGUCCAAUCCGAAUCCUGCAAGGGAAUUGUGGUGUAAGUGUGGGCUUGUAUCUUGCGGACUCGGAAAAGUUUUCCUGGAAAGGAGUGCCAAAGAGGGUGAUAGCCCCGUUAUCCGAGAACCCGCAAGACAAACCUUGCCCAUGCCCGAGUAGUACUGCUUGGGAAUGCAGUGCGAACGGCAGGUAUACCUCUGUUAAGGCUAAAUAUCAUGGGAAGACCGAUAGCGCACAAGUAGCGUGAGCGAAAGAUGAAAAGCACUUUGGAGAGAGAGUGAAAUAGUACCUGAAGCCGUCAUGAGGUAAGGGAUGGACCACUAUCCAAGACACUUUGAAGAAAGGCUCUUUAGAGCAAACCUCUCAGGGUGUCACGUCAGCCGUUGUCUUGAAGUCUAGCUUCCUUUGGCUUAGCCUUUCGGGGUGGCCCGAGGUCGAACUUGAACUGAUGGACAAUUUUCCUUGUGCCGGAGAAAACUGGUGUAAGCACAGUCGUACGGGCCCAACAGGCUAGCAGCUUGCUGCGAUGCCUUCGGGUUUGGAAAGCUGUUCUGCUCCACUCUUUCCCGUCAUAGGUUGACUUCGAGAUGGCCUUCGGGCCACGAUGGGGUUCAUCCGCCCGUCUUGAAACACGGACCAAGGAGUCUAACAAGUGUGCGAGUGUUAUGUUGAAUGAAAACAUGACGCGGACUGAAAGGGAAGUGUCCUUCUGGACAUAUGGUGCCAAGGUUUGUCCCAUGGGACUUAUCUGCAGCGCCCGCCGGACUUUGGGAAUCGCCCGGAGUUCUGAGCGUUAGCACACAUGUUGGGACCCGAAAGGUGGUGACCUAUGCCUGAACAGGACGAAGCCGAGGGAAACCUGGGUGGAGGUCCGUAGCGAUGUUGACGUGCAAAUCACUCGCCAGAUUUGGGUAUAGGGGCGAAAGACUCAUCGAACCACCUAGUAGCUGGUUCACCC